GACGGAGGGGGCAAGCGUUGUCCGGACUCACUGGGCGUAAAGCGCACGUAGGCGGUUGGCUGCGUCGGUGCUGAAAGCGCCAGGCUUAACCUGGCGAGGCGUGCCGAUACGAGCCGACUAGAGGCAGGCAGAGGGUGGCGGAAUUCCGGGUGUAGUGGUGAAAUGCGUAGAGAUCCGGAGGAACGCCUGUGGCGCAAGCGGCCACCUGGGCCUGACCUGACGCUGAGGUGCGAAAGCGUGGGGAGCGAACCGGAUUAGAUACCCGGGUAGUCCACGCAGUAAACGAUGCCAGCUCGGUGUCUGGGGCCGUUAUGGCCCUGGGUGCCUUAGCUCACGCGGUAAGCUGGCCGCCUGGGGACUACGAGCGCAAGCUUAAA
This 377-nucleotide ribosomal RNA is filed under the name uncultured bacterium. RNAcentral describes it as "bacterial SSU rRNA". It matches the Rfam family "Bacterial small subunit ribosomal RNA", at positions 524 to 898 of the family's 1533-position model. The record is from RNAcentral.